Molecule: long non-coding RNA, 451 nt
Organism: Meriones unguiculatus (Mongolian gerbil)
Lineage: Eukaryota; Metazoa; Chordata; Mammalia; Rodentia; Muridae
Exons: 3
Source: RefSeq, a predicted model, not a curated record
CAGGAAACUACAUGGAUGAUGGCAGGAAAUUGGGGAUGAGGACGAGGAGCAAGAGGUCCUGGCAGACGACCGGAUGAAGAGUCCAGGUGUCUCUGUAAAUGUGGGGAAAUCACUGAAGAGUCUGCAGGACUAGUUAAAACAGGCUUUCUGGAAAGAAAUCCACACUGCUUAAUCUUCUUCAUAAAACGCCAACACAUGAUUGCCAGGAAUCCGCACGUCCGUUGGAUCCAAACUUGCUGGACACUGUUGCUCCCAUGCUGAAGGCAAAGAACUGGAGCCUGGAAGUGGACACAGGUCCUUCAGGAAGCCUGAGAAUUUUCUUAGAAGCACCAAAAGAUGCUCCAGAUUCUAAGCCCCGACUGUCCCUUUUACUUCCUUGCUGAUUAGAGCGUAACUCUUUUGAAAAGCUCCUUGACACUUAGAUGAAACAAAGCGAUAUUUCUUUGAGAAA